This 455-nucleotide long non-coding RNA is filed under the name Manacus vitellinus (golden-collared manakin). Its description in RNAcentral is "lncRNA (ENSMVIG00005011693.1)". Lineage: Eukaryota; Metazoa; Chordata; Aves; Passeriformes; Pipridae. The record is from RNAcentral.
UCCACUGCCAAGAGUUCUGUUACCCACAGCAUCAGCUCAAAUACCUGAGUCCCAUAUAAAAGAACCCCACUCUGGACAGCUUGAGCUGGGGAAGUUCAGUCACAUUUCCAGUACAUACCUCAAGACAUCAAAAAUUAGUGAAGUGACCCCUGGUGCCUCCAGGAGAAAUAGCUUCAUUUGUUUCAAAAACAUCUGGGAAUUAAGAAAAAUGUAAAUUCCAGUAAGGUCUCUUGAUAUGGAGACAAGUGUUCAAAAUGAAAUUUGAACACCUUUUCUACUCUUGCUUGUUGUCCGCACUCUACUGUCACUAUAGCACAGAAAAAGAAAGGCAGAAGCUUCAUCAUGAAGAGAAUCCACGACAGGAUAGAUGAGAACAGAACCUGGCUGCCUGUAAAGCAACUGGACCACCUGACCCCAAAAUGAAUUACAUUUAUUUCAAGUUACACGUAUGUGUA